UGGGGAAUAUUGCACAAUGGGCGCAAGCCUGACGCAGCAACGCCGCGUGAACGAUGAAGGUCUUCGGAUCGUAAAGUUCUGUUGCAGGGGAAGAUAAUGACGGUACCCUGUGAGGAAGCCCCGGCUAACUACGUGCCAGCAGCCGCGGUAAUACGUAGGGGGCUAGCGUUAUCCGGAUUUACUGGGCGUAAAGGGUGCGUAGGUGGUCUUUCAAGUCGGUGGUUAAAGGCUACGGCUCAACCGUAGUUAGCCUCCGAAACUGGAAGACUUGAGUGCAGGAGAGGAAAGUGGAAUUCCCAGUGUAGCGGUGAAAUGCGUAGAUAUUGGGAGGAAUACCGGUGGCGAAGGCGACGUUCUGGACUUUUACUGACGCUCAGGUACGAAAGCGUGGGGAGCAAACAGG
This 403-nucleotide ribosomal RNA is filed under the name Verrucomicrobiota bacterium. RNAcentral's name for it is "Verrucomicrobia bacterium partial 16S ribosomal RNA". It matches the Rfam family "Bacterial small subunit ribosomal RNA", at positions 355 to 776 of the family's 1533-position model. Lineage: Bacteria; Pseudomonadati; Verrucomicrobiota. The record is from RNAcentral.